RNAcentral lists this ribosomal RNA (541 nucleotides) under uncultured archaeon. RNAcentral's name for it is "bacterial SSU rRNA". It matches the Rfam family "Archaeal small subunit ribosomal RNA", at positions 326 to 869 of the family's 1478-position model. The record is from RNAcentral.
CGGGGUGCAGCAGGCGCGAAACCUUUGCAAUACACGAAAGUGUGACAGGGUCAUCCCGAGUGCCGACCGCUGAGGUUGGCUUUUACCCAGUCUAGAAAGCUGGGGGAAUAAGGAGAGGGCAAGUCUGGUGUCAGCCGCCGCGGUAAUACCAGCUCUCCGAGUGGUGUGGACGUUUAUUGGGCCUAAAGCAUCCGUAGCUGGCUGAACAAGUCCCCUGUUAAACCCACCGAUUUAAUCGUUGGCUUGCGGGGGAUACUGCUCGGCUAGGGGACGAGAGAGGCAGACGGUAUUCCCGGGGUAGGGGUGAAAUCCUAUAAUCCCGAGAAGACCACCAGUGGCGAAGGCUGUCUGCUAGAACGCGCCCGACGGUGAGGGAUGAAAGCUGGGGGAGCGAACCGGAUUAGAUACCCGGGUAGUCCCAGCUGUAAACGAUGCAGACUAGGUGUUUGGACGGCCACGUGCCGUUCUAGUGCCGCAGGGAAGCUGUUAAGUCUGCCGCCUGGGGAGUACGAUCGCAAGAUUGAAACUUAAAGGAAUUGGC